UUAGAUAAAGUGGACUCAUUCCAAGUACAGGGCUUCGAAAGAGUCCUGUAUUGUUAUUUUUCGUCACUACCUCCCCGGGUCG
Long non-coding RNA from Peromyscus leucopus (white-footed mouse), 82 nucleotides. RefSeq lists it as uncharacterized. The transcript is spliced from 4 exons. NCBI's taxonomy places the organism in Eukaryota, Metazoa, Chordata, Mammalia, Rodentia, Cricetidae. The record is from RefSeq and is a predicted model, not a curated record.